GUAAGUGUUUGUGUCUUUUUCUAAAAAUCAUUUUCAGUCUUUUAGGUAACAAGUUUCAGUUGUCAUGGUUACAGUUUGGUUAACAUCCACCCACAAAAAUGUUUGAACAGAAAAACUGUUUCAAAACUGAGUGAGACUUCAUUUAAAAUGUAAUUUCCUUUCUAGUGGACGUUAAACCUGUAAAUCCUGAACCAUGAAAUCAUUGCUCGAUAAUUCAAAUUUUAUUGGUCCAACGCAUCAAACGUGACUCCAACGUCACUUCCGUACGAGACGUUGCAUCCUGUAAGUGUGGAGUUUGACCGAGCGGCUGAACGACAGAUCGGUUCUAACAGUCAGUGACUUUCAGCUUUAUUUAAACCUUAAAUUUAAUCUUGUGUCGUCAGAUUUAAACUCAGGUUCAGUUAUUGAGUGAAAAUACCAACAGACUCAGACAUUUAGGACAAACUAAGAGUCAGAUGAGCAGAAACAGAGAACACGGACAUGUCUGCUGUAACUGCGUCACUCUGCUCCACUUUGCUGAUGUUCGAUGGAGUCUUCAUGUUUGUCUCUGCAGAUUUUCCACCCUGAUGACCACAGAGGCCUUUGAGGCUUCCAGACGUCCUUCACAACAACACACUGGAUGAACUGGUGAUUUACACAGGCUACUGGUUUUGUAAACUGGUGCAGGCUGCUGCUGGUUCUCAGGUUAGUCAGAGUUAUGUCGCGGUGUUGUUUGAUAAGCUGCUCGGCAGACACAGACCUCCGACCUCGGAGCUGAAGCUGAAUCAGGAAGAGGCGGAGCAGGAUGUGAGCUUGAAACUUGCUGUGGGAAACAAACUCGGUGCAGAGACAAAACAAACUUCUGAUUCAAAGACACAAACUGUUCAUACAUGACGACUGACACAUGAAACAGGUUCAGAUCUUUCCUGCCAGGAUGCUUCAAGAACUGAAGCAAUAAAACUUUCUUUCGACUUCACCUCUUCUGUUGUGACGCACUUGUUUCUGCUCGACCCCGCAGUGCAGCGCACCAAACGUCACAAUGACACAACUUCCUGUAAACCAACGUUACUGAUCCAACUGCUUUUUAAGCCUAAAUUUUAAUCUCAUGACAGACUGAGACAUUUAGAAAAAGCUAAGAGUCAGAUCAAGAACCCGGAAAUGUUUGCUGUAAUUACGUCACUCUGCUCCACUUUGAUGUUUGCCGUGUUCGUCUCUGCAGGUGAGAUUUAACUUUGACAUAAAACAGGAAGUACUGGCUGCAUAUUAAACAUAUUUCCCUGAGACUAAUUUUCAUCCUGACUGUUUCUUUGUGUGUGAGAAGGAAACAGGAGGCUGUGUGUGUCUGUGUGAUGUGUUGUAGUGUCAGGAGUCAGUAUACAGCUACAAAGCUUUUUGUUCAGUGUAUACAAACAGCUGUAGCUCCAUAAAGGCAGCAUGCAGAGACUCACAGUGUCUUAUAAUGAGUGGCUGCUUUCUC
Long non-coding RNA from Oreochromis aureus, 1456 nucleotides. Lineage: Eukaryota; Metazoa; Chordata; Actinopteri; Cichliformes; Cichlidae. The record is from Ensembl.